This 254-nucleotide ribosomal RNA is filed under the name uncultured bacterium. RNAcentral describes it as "partial 16S ribosomal RNA". It matches the Rfam family "Bacterial small subunit ribosomal RNA", at positions 524 to 776 of the family's 1533-position model. The record is from RNAcentral.
UACGAAGGGGGCGAGCGUUGUUCGGAUUUAUUGGGCGUAAAGAGCUCGUAGGCGGUUCGGCAAGUCAGAUGUAAAAACUCCAGGCUCAACUUGGAGAGGCCAUCUGAUACUGCCGUGACUAGAGUCCGGUAGAGGAGCACGGAAUUCCUGGUGUAGCGGUGAAAUGCGCAGAUAUCAGGAGGAACACCAGCGGCGAAGGCGGUGCUCUGGGCCGGAACUGACGCUGAGGAGCGAAAGCGUGGGGAGCGAACAGG